Long non-coding RNA from Solanum tuberosum (potato), 1875 nucleotides. RefSeq lists it as uncharacterized. The record is from RefSeq and is a predicted model, not a curated record. The transcript is spliced from 2 exons. NCBI's taxonomy places the organism in Eukaryota, Viridiplantae, Streptophyta, Magnoliopsida, Solanales, Solanaceae.
AAUACCAAAACCGACCCCACCCCAUGUGUUUUCUUCUUCUUCCAUACAAAUCCAACUAAAAAUUCAAAGACCCACCAGCAAUAUCAAUACAAACAAUAGUACCCGACCCCACCCCUUGUGUUUUCUUCUUCUUCCUUGCAAAUUCAGAAAAUUCCAAAAAAAAUCAGUAAAAGUCAAUACCAAGAACCUUAAUUUCUUCAUCCAACUACUCCACCCAUCACCAUUGAUAAUCCCUCCCUCCAUAUUCAAAUAUUGCAGACCUCAAGCUUGAUUUGUUGACUUUGGAUUAGAUAAAAAUCUCACCCAAAUCUGAUGCAAAUCAGAGCUAUGACAUCAAGUCCGGAUUUUUAGGGCUCUGUAUUCUUUGUCAUCGGAAGCUUUCGUCGGAGUUCUUUUAACGUGGUGGUGAAAUAGUUCGUUUCAACUCGUCGUCUCAAGUUCACUACCCAUAACCAAGUAAUCUGCUUCCGUUAUCUCUUUAAAUUCCCGAUUUUGCUUUGUGUUCGUUUUAAGUAUUUUAGUUGUUUGGAUUUAGUCACUGCUUAACAUGUAGAUUGAUGGGUAAAUGCCAUAUAGCUUUCUUUCUUUCUUUCUUUCUUUUUUUUUUUUUUUUUUUUAGACUUUUCCAGCUCAUAUUUAUUUCGUGUUGUUUGUUAGAAUUCAGCUUUUGAGUAGUGCAUUCUAGUUUCGUUUCCUGCAUUCUGUUUGCUCAAGGUGUUUCAAAAUUUUUAUGAACUUGUUGAUACCUCAUAAAUGUUGAGACAAUUUUUUUGAAAAUAUUUUAAACUUGUGGACUCCUUCUCCAUUCUAUUUGUUUGAAUCAGUAGACCUUUAAACUCAUGUUUGCUCCCUUCCUUGUGAGUCCUCUGUUCCGUGGAUACCAUGAUUUUUAUUAUUCUAUUACAUUGCUUUAGAUUCAUACAUGCAUUUGACUACAUUACUUUAUUAUCAUUAUUUUCUUUUGACAAAAAAGUAAAAAGUAAAGUUAAGUGUCAAUCAUUGGAAGUGAGAAAUAAUAUUUGUAUUGUUUUGUCUGCUACUGCCAAAGGGUGUUCUUCCAUGAUAUGUGUUAAUUGUCAAGAUAAUAGUUUAGUCACAUGAAUUUAAGUGUUACUUGUAUAACAAUGAGAGUUUAAGAGUUAAGAAAUUUAAUCAAUUUAAAUAAGAAUUAGCGUAAUUGUGAAGUUGGCUAUAAUAAUUCAUAUUAUUUUUUACUAUUAUUAUUAUUUUUAAAACAUUCCUUAUUAAAUUGAUAGUUUAGUCAUUGUUGGGUUCCAUUUAUUUGUUUAGAAAGACUUGCAUUAUUUUUCUUUAUUUAUUUGCAUUUUUGAGUCUAGCAUGCCACUAACCAUUUAGUUGAAGAUUGGAAUUUAAUAUGUCAUAUGUUCAAUUUUCCUUGAAUUUUAAUUCUACUAUAAGUUAAGUAUUAAUUUUUCUUCCAUGUUUACCUUGCAUGAACCCCUCCUUGGUUUGAGUCCAUUCGACUCUCUUCUAUCUCUUUCCUUUGCAUUUCGGAUGUGCUAUGGAGUUCCGAACUCAGCACUAUCGAGUUGAACUCAUCAUUUCAAGAAAUUGAAAGCUGAAACAGGUCUCGGAAAGCAGAAAAAUGGGUUGUAUACAUUUGAUAUACAGUGAUAUACAUUAAGGGUAUACAAAAAUGGGAAUUGAGCCAAAAGCCCAAAUCAGCAACGAGUUUGACCCUAAAAAAGGGGGCCCAAAUUUAUCUUCUCCUUUAUUCUCCUGGAUUAUUUAAUUGUGAUUACUUAUUGUUAGUUUUUUUUUAUUAACUCUAACUUUAAAUAACUUAAUUGAACUCCCCAAAGGAUGAACUAUUUUCUUUGUGUUGGUUUACUUUAAUAAAUUUUAUUUUAUCAA